GGGUUGUGAGGUUAAGCGACUAAGCGUACACGGUGGAUGCCCUGGCAGUCAGAGGCGAUGAAGGACGUGCUAAUCUGCGAUAAGCGUCGGUAAGGUGAUAUGAACCGUUAUAACCGGCGAUUUCCGAAUGGGGAAACCCAGUGUGUUUCGACACACUAUCAUUAACUGAAUCCAUAGGUUAAUGAGGCGAACCGGGGGAACUGAAACAUCUAAGUACCCCGAGGAAAAGAAAUCAACCGAGAUUCCCCCAGUAGCGGCGAGCGAACGGGGAGCAGCCCAGAGCCUGAAUCAGUGUGUGUGUUAGUGGAAGCGUCUGGAAAGGCGUGCGAUACAGGGUGACAGCCCCGUACACAAAAAUGCACAUGCUGUGAGCUCGAUGAGUAGGGCGGGACACGUGGUAUCCUGUCUGAAUAUGGGGGGACCAUCCUCCAAGGCUAAAUACUCCUGACUGACCGAUAGUGAACCAGUACCGUGAGGGAAAGGCGAAAAGAACCCCGGCGAGGGGAGUGAAAAAGAACCUGAAACCGUGUACGUACAAGCAGUGGGAGCACGCUUAGGCGUGUGACUGCGUACCUUUUGUAUAAUGGGUCAGCGACUUAUAUUCUGUAGCAAGGUUAACCGAAUAGGGGAGCCGAAGGGAAACCGAGUCUUAACUGGGCGUUAAGUUGCAGGGUAUAGACCCGAAACCCGGUGAUCUAGCCAUGGGCAGGUUGAAGGUUGGGUAACACUAACUGGAGGACCGAACCGACUAAUGUUGAAAAAUUAGCGGAUGACUUGUGGCUGGGGGUGAAAGGCCAAUCAAACCGGGAGAUAGCUGGUUCUCCCCGAAAGCUAUUUAGGUAGCGCCUCGUGAAUUCAUCUCCGGGGGUAGAGCACUGUUUCGGCAAGGGGGUCAUCCCGACUUACCAACCCGAUGCAAACUGCGAAUACCGGAGAAUGUUAUCACGGGAGACACACGGCGGGUGCUAACGUCCGUCGUGAAGAGGGAAACAACCCAGACCGCCAGCUAAGGUCCCAAAGUCAUGGUUAAGUGGGAAACGAUGUGGGAAGGCCCAGACAGCCAGGAUGUUGGCUUAGAAGCAGCCAUCAUUUAAAGAAAGCGUAAUAGCUCACUGGUCGAGUCGGCCUGCGCGGAAGAUGUAACGGGGCUAAACCAUGCACCGAAGCUGCGGCAGCGACGCUGAUGCGUUGUUGGGUAGGGGAGCGUUCUGUAAGCCUGCGAAGGUGUGCUGUGAGGCAUGCUGGAGGUAUCAGAAGUGCGAAUGCUGACAUAAGUAACGAUAAAGCGGGUGAAAAGCCCGCUCGCCGGAAGACCAAGGGUUCCUGUCCAACGUUAAUCGGGGCAGGGUGAGUCGACCCCUAAGGCGAGGCCGAAAGGCGUAGUCGAUGGGAAACAGGUUAAUAUUCCUGUACUUGGUGUUACUGCGAAGGGGGGACGGAGAAGGCUAUGUUGGCCGGGCGACGGUUGUCCCGGUUUAAGCGUGUAGGCUGGUUUUCCAGGCAAAUCCGGAAAAUCAAGGCUGAGGCGUGAUGACGAGGCACUACGGUGCUGAAGCAACAAAUGCCCUGCUUCCAGGAAAAGCCUCUAAGCAUCAGGUAACAUCAAAUCGUACCCCAAACCGACACAGGUGGUCAGGUAGAGAAUACCAAGGCGCUUGAGAGAACUCGGGUGAAGGAACUAGGCAAAAUGGUGCCGUAACUUCGGGAGAAGGCACGCUGAUAUGUAGGUGAAGUCCCUCGCGGAUGGAGCUGAAAUCAGUCGAAGAUACCAGCUGGCUGCAACUGUUUAUUAAAAACACAGCACUGUGCAAACACGAAAGUGGACGUAUACGGUGUGACGCCUGCCCGGUGCCGGAAGGUUAAUUGAUGGGGUUAGCCGCAAGGCGAAGCUCUUGAUCGAAGCCCCGGUAAACGGCGGCCGUAACUAUAACGGUCCUAAGGUAGCGAAAUUCCUUGUCGGGUAAGUUCCGACCUGCACGAAUGGCGUAAUGAUGGCCAGGCUGUCUCCACCCGAGACUCAGUGAAAUUGAACUCGCUGUGAAGAUGCAGUGUACCCGCGGCAAGACGGAAAGACCCCGUGAACCUUUACUAUAGCUUGACACUGAACAUUGAGCCUUGAUGUGUAGGAUAGGUGGGAGGCUUAGAAGUGUGGACGCCAGUCUGCAUGGAGCCGACCUUGAAAUACCACCCUUUAAUGUUUGAUGUUCUAACGUUGACCCGUAAUCCGGGUUGCGGACAGUGUCUGGUGGGUAGUUUGACUGGGGCGGUCUCCUCCUAAAGAGUAACGGAGGAGCACGAAGGUUGGCUAAUCCUGGUCGGACAUCAGGAGGUUAGUGCAAUGGCAUAAGCCAGCUUGACUGCGAGCGUGACGGCGCGAGCAGGUGCGAAAGCAGGUCAUAGUGAUCCGGUGGUUCUGAAUGGAAGGGCCAUCGCUCAACGGAUAAAAGGUACUCCGGGGAUAACAGGCUGAUACCGCCCAAGAGUUCAUAUCGACGGCGGUGUUUGGCACCUCGAUGUCGGCUCAUCACAUCCUGGGGCUGAAGUAGGUCCCAAGGGUAUGGCUGUUCGCCAUUUAAAGUGGUACGCGAGCUGGGUUUAGAACGUCGUGAGACAGUUCGGUCCCUAUCUGCCGUGGGCGCUGGAGAACUGAGGGGGGCUGCUCCUAGUACGAGAGGACCGGAGUGGACGCAUCACUGGUGUUCGGGUUGUCAUGCCAAUGGCACUGCCCGGUAGCUAAAUGCGGAAGAGAUAAGUGCUGAAAGCAUCUAAGCACGAAACUUGCCCCGAGAUGAGUUCUCCCUGACUCCUUGAGAGUCCUGAAGGAACGUUGAAGACGACGACGUUGAUAGGCCGGGUGUGUAAGCGCAGCGAUGCGUUGAGCUAACCGGUACUAAUGAACCGUGAGGCUUAACCUUACAACGCCGAAG
RNAcentral lists this ribosomal RNA (2927 nucleotides) under Escherichia coli. RNAcentral describes it as "23S ribosomal RNA". It matches the Rfam family "Bacterial large subunit ribosomal RNA". Lineage: Bacteria; Pseudomonadati; Pseudomonadota; Gammaproteobacteria; Enterobacterales; Enterobacteriaceae. The record is from RNAcentral.